RNAcentral lists this long non-coding RNA (254 nucleotides) under Nicotiana benthamiana. Its description in RNAcentral is "long non-coding RNA (NBEN_LNC002830)". The record is from RNAcentral. Lineage: Eukaryota; Viridiplantae; Streptophyta; Magnoliopsida; Solanales; Solanaceae.
CUUGUUCAAAUUACAUGAUUGGGAAUGAUGAAAUAAAAAUGGUGUUUUGAAAUUUUGAUGUUUGCUAGUUUGUAAAAGUGAAAAUUUGGAAUUGAAUAAAGUACUUUCUGUUUUUUACUCUCCUAUGUUUUCUGGUUAAUCCCAUGGCUUUCUUUAUACUUGUGUAUGGGUGUGUUAUUCUUUCAGGACGUAGAAAUCUUUUUUUUUUGUUGGUCGAUAUAAAUACUAGAUGAUUAAGCAUAUUUGCCUUUUCC